GUAGGUGGCAAGCGUUGUCCGGAAUUAUUGGGCGUAAAGCGCGCGCAGGCGGUUUUUUAAGCCUGAUGUGAAAGCCCACGGCUCAACCGUGGAGGGUCAUUGGAAACUGGAGAACUUGAGUACAGAAGAGGAAAGCGGAAUUCCACGUGUAGCGGUGAAAUGCGUAGAGAUGUGGAGGAACACCAGUGGCGAAGGCGGCUUUCUGGUCUGUAACUGACGCUGAGGCGCGAGAGCGUGGGGAGCAAACAGGAUUAGAUACCCUGGUAGUCCACGCCGUAAACGAUGAGUGCUAAGUGUUAGGGGGUUUCCGCCCCCCUUAGUGCUGCAGCUAACGCAUUAAGCACUCCGCCUGGGAGUACGGCCGCAAGGCUG
RNAcentral lists this ribosomal RNA (372 nucleotides) under uncultured organism. RNAcentral's name for it is "partial 16S ribosomal RNA". It matches the Rfam family "Bacterial small subunit ribosomal RNA", at positions 527 to 896 of the family's 1533-position model. The record is from RNAcentral.